AAUGCAUUGAAAGUGACU
RNAcentral lists this small nuclear RNA (18 nucleotides) under Arabidopsis thaliana (thale cress). Its description in RNAcentral is "snRNA_01841". Lineage: Eukaryota; Viridiplantae; Streptophyta; Magnoliopsida; Brassicales; Brassicaceae. The record is from RNAcentral.